RNAcentral lists this ribosomal RNA (796 nucleotides) under uncultured bacterium. Its description in RNAcentral is "bacterial SSU rRNA". It matches the Rfam family "Bacterial small subunit ribosomal RNA", at positions 97 to 929 of the family's 1533-position model. The record is from RNAcentral.
GGCGGACGGGUGAGUAACACGUGAAUAAUCUGUCCUCAAGUCCGGGAUAACCAGGCGAAAGUCGGGCUAAUCCGGGGUAAGCUGAGGUGUGGCAUCACACAUCAGAAAAGGUCGUUUGAGGAGGAGUUCGCGGUAGAUUAGCUAGCUGGUGAGGUAAUGGCUCACCAGGGCAACAAUCUAUAGCUGGUCUGAGAGGACGAUCAGUCACACUGGAACUGAGACACGGUCCAGACUCCUACGGGAGGCAGCAGUGGGGAAUCUUCCACAAUGGGCGCAAGCCUGAUGGAGCAACGCCGCGUGAGUGAAGAAGGUCUUCGGAUUGUAAAGCUCUGUCCUUAGGGAAGAUGACGGUACCUUUGGAGGAAGCACUGGCUAACUACGUGCCAGCAGCCGCGGUAAUACGUAGAGUGCAAGCGUUGUCCGGAAUUAUUGGGCGUAAAGGGUACGCAGGCGGAUAUUCAAGUCAAGCGUGAAAGGUGUCGGCUUAACCGACAGACUGCGUUUGAAACUGAAUAUCUUGAGUGUAACAGAGGAGAGUGGAAUUCCUAGUGUAGUGGUGAAAUACGUAGAUAUUAGGAAGAACACCAGUGGCGAAGGCGACUCUCUGGGUUAACACUGACGCUGAGGUACGAAAGCUGGGGGAGCGAACGGGAUUAGAUACCCCGGUAGUCCCAGCCGUAAACGAUGGAUACUAGGUGUUGGAGCUUCAGUGCCGGAGUUAACGCAUUAAGUAUCCCGCCUGGGGAUUACGAUCGCAAGAUUGAAACUCAAAGGAAUUGACGGGGGCCCGCACAAG